UCCAGGGCUAAGCAUGGCCUUCACCCAGGCU
Molecule: non-coding RNA, 31 nt
Filed under: Mus musculus (house mouse)
Lineage: Eukaryota; Metazoa; Chordata; Mammalia; Rodentia; Muridae
Source: RNAcentral